Molecule: non-coding RNA, 773 nt
Organism: Sturnus vulgaris (Common starling)
Lineage: Eukaryota; Metazoa; Chordata; Aves; Passeriformes; Sturnidae
Source: the annotation of a RefSeq genome assembly
GUUUUUGCGCGGCGUUUCCGCUGAUUUUUCCCGCCGUGCUCUCCGCUAUUGACGCCUGGGGCAGCGGAACGGCCGUGACGGUUUCGAGCGCCCGGCCCGGCAGCCCGGACGUUUUCCCCCUGUCCCCUUGCGGCACGGCCUCCAAAUUUUCGGUGGGCUGCGGCGCCGUGGGUUCUCUGCCGGGCCCGGUGGCCUUCUCGUGGACCGACCACCAGAACCGGAGCCUGCCGGCGGGGGCGUCCGUGACGUCAUUUCCUCAGAUGCCCUGGCGGGUUUCCGGAACUUUCCUGGUGGUCUCCAAGCUGGGGAUGGAUUUGGACGAGGGGAAAUCGCGGCAGCCGUUCUGGUGCCGCGCCGAGCAGGCGAGGGGAACGAGCAGCGUCCAGGUGUCCAACCCAGCCCCGGACCAACUCCGCCAGCGCACCUGGGCCACCCUCACCUGCCUCAUCCGCGACUUCAACCCCCCCGACCUCAUGGUCCAAUGGCUGCAGGACGGGCGGCCCCUCCCCCAGGGGCGCCACCUCGACUUCCGGCCACGCCCCGAGCCGGGACACGCCCCUUCCGGCCCGGGACACGCCCCUUCCUACCUGAGCCUCAGCACCUUGACGGUGCCGGCGCGCGAUUGGGAGGCCGGGAGCGUCUUCACCUGCCUGGUGGGGCACGAGCGGCUCCCGCUGCGCCUGGCCCAGAGGUCGCUGGACAAGUCGGCCGGUAAACCCGCGCACGUCAACGUCUCCCUCGUGCUGGGGGACUCUUUGGGGGCUUGUUACUAA